CCUACGGGCGGCUGCAGUGGGGAAUAUUGGACAAUGGGCGAAAGCCUGAUCCAGCCAUGCCGCGUGUGUGAAGAAGGCCUUCGGGUUGUAAAGCACUUUCAGUGGGGAAGAAAGCCUUGGGGCUAAUACCCUCGAGGAAGGACAUCACCCACAGAAGAAGCACCGGCUAACUCCGUGCCAGCAGCCGCGGUAAUACGGAGGGUGCGAGCGUUAAUCGGAAUUACUGGGCGUAAAGCGCGCGUAGGCGGUCUGAUAAGCCGGUUGUGAAAGCCCCGGGCUCAACCUGGGAACGGCAUCCGGAACUGUCAGGCUAGAGUGCAGGAGAGGAAAGUAGAAUUCCCGGUGUAGCGGUGAAAUGCGUAGAGAUCGGGAGGAAUACCAGUGGCGAAGGCGGCCUUCUGGACUGACACUGACGCUGAGGUGCGAAAGCGUGGGUAGCAAACAGGAUUAGAUACCCGAGUAGUC
Molecule: ribosomal RNA, 465 nt
Filed under: Vreelandella stevensii
Lineage: Bacteria; Pseudomonadati; Pseudomonadota; Gammaproteobacteria; Oceanospirillales; Halomonadaceae
Description: partial 16S ribosomal RNA
Rfam family: Bacterial small subunit ribosomal RNA
Source: RNAcentral